AGGAUGAACGCUGGCGGCGUGCUUAACACAUGCAAGUCGAACGGUGCUCGCAAGAGCACAGUGGCGCACGGGUGAGGAACACGUAGCUCAUCUGCCUUCAAGCGCGGGAUAACGGUCCGAAAGGAUUGCUAAUACCGCAUAAGCUCACGCGCUGUAGAGGCGUGCGAGAAAAGGCUUCGGUCACUUGAAGAGGAGGCUGCGGCCCAUCAGGUAGUCGGUGUGGUAACGGCGCACCAAGCCAACGAC
Molecule: ribosomal RNA, 246 nt
Filed under: uncultured bacterium
Lineage: Bacteria
Description: partial small subunit ribosomal RNA
Rfam family: Bacterial small subunit ribosomal RNA
Source: RNAcentral